CCGAAAAUGUCGGUUUAAAUCCCUCCUAUACUA
This 33-nucleotide transfer RNA is filed under the name Crotaphytus nebrius. RNAcentral describes it as "partial tRNA-Met". Lineage: Eukaryota; Metazoa; Chordata; Lepidosauria; Squamata; Crotaphytidae. The record is from RNAcentral.